UGACUGAGCGGCGGACGGGUGAGUAACGCGUGGGUAACCUGCCUCAUACAGGGGGAUAACAGUUGGAAACGGCUGCUAAUACCGCAUAAGCGCACAGUACCGCAUGGUACCGUGUGAAAAACUCCGGUGGUAUGAGAUGGACCCGCGUCUGAUUAGGUAGUUGGUGGGGUAACGGCCUACCAAGCCGACGAUCAGUAGCCGACCUGAGAGGGUGACCGGCCACAUUGGGACUGAGACACGGCCCAAACUCCUACGGGAGGCAGCAUG
This 267-nucleotide ribosomal RNA is filed under the name uncultured bacterium. RNAcentral describes it as "partial 16S ribosomal RNA". It matches the Rfam family "Bacterial small subunit ribosomal RNA", at positions 88 to 353 of the family's 1533-position model. The record is from RNAcentral.